RNAcentral lists this ribosomal RNA (459 nucleotides) under uncultured bacterium. Its description in RNAcentral is "partial 16S ribosomal RNA". It matches the Rfam family "Bacterial small subunit ribosomal RNA", at positions 338 to 795 of the family's 1533-position model. The record is from RNAcentral.
CCUACGGGCGGCAGCAGUGAGGAAUAUUGGUCAAUGGCCGAGAGGCUGAACCAGCCAAGUCGCGUGAGGGAUGACGGCCCUACGGGUUGUAAACCUCUUUUGUCGGGGAGCAAAGAGAGUCACGUGUGGCUCAUUGCGAGUACCCGAAGAAAAAGCAUCGGCAAACUCGGUGCCAGCAGCCGCGGUAAUACGGAGGAUGCGAGCGUUAUCCGGAUUGAUUGGGGUAAACGGGGGCGCAGGCGCAGGUGCAAGUCAGUGGUCAAAUGGCGGGGCUCAACCCCGUACUGCAGUUGAAACUGCAUCCCUUGAGUGCGCGAGAGGUAGGCGGAAUGCGUGGUGUAGCGGUGAAAUGCGUAGAGAUCACGCAGAACUCCGAUUGCGAAGGCAGCAUACCGGCGGGCAACUGACGCUCAUGCACGAAAGCGUGGGUAUCGAACAGGAUUAGAUACCCGGGUAGUC